GAUGAAGAACGUAGCGAAUUGCGAUAUGUAAUGUGAAUUGCAGAAUUCAGUGAAUCAUCGAAUCUUUGAACGCACAUUGCACCCUUUGGCAUUCCAAAGGGUAUGCCUGUUUGAGAGUCAUUAAUACAUCAACGCUUUGAGGCUUUUCAAGCCUUGCUGCGCUUGGACGUUGAAGGCUUUGCUGAAGAUAAAUCAUCAUCAGCUCCUUUAAAAUUCAUUAGCAGGACCAUGUAGAACCAGCUCCAGUUUGAUAAUGUGAUUUAUCUGAUCUGUUGCCGGUGAACCCAGGUAUUGCUUAUAAUUGUCCCGUCCUAAGGGGGGACUGUCCCUUUGGGGCAAAGCAUAAUUUGAUUCUUGACCUCAAAUCAGGUAGGACUACCCGCUGAACUUAAGCAUAUCAAUAAGCGGAGGA
This 412-nucleotide unclassified non-coding RNA is filed under the name soil metagenome. Its description in RNAcentral is "partial contains 5.8S ribosomal RNA, internal transcribed spacer 2, and large subunit ribosomal RNA". The stretch from base 1 to 120 matches the Rfam family "5.8S ribosomal RNA", at positions 35 to 154 of the family's 154-position model. The record is from RNAcentral.